Molecule: long non-coding RNA, 253 nt
Organism: Choloepus didactylus (southern two-toed sloth)
Lineage: Eukaryota; Metazoa; Chordata; Mammalia; Pilosa; Megalonychidae
Exons: 3
Source: RefSeq, a predicted model, not a curated record
UUUGGUAGCCCUGGUGAAAAAGGAGACAGAGGUGAUCCAGGGCCAGUUGGAAUACCCAGCCCAGAACCUCCAAUGCUGAACCUUUGGUUCAAAGGAGACAAAGGCUCUCGGGGCUCCACAGGAUCAGAUAGAUUUCCUGGGCCCAGAGGUGACAAAGGAGAGACUGGCCGCCCUGGGCCAGCAGGCCUCCCUGGGGCUCCAGGAUUCCCCAGCACCAUCAAAGGACUUCUUGGAAGGCCAGGUCCCCCUGGAU